RNAcentral lists this transfer RNA (72 nucleotides) under Azobacteroides pseudotrichonymphae (SeqCode). RNAcentral describes it as "Candidatus Azobacteroides pseudotrichonymphae tRNA-Arg". It matches the Rfam family "tRNA". Rfam says of the family: Transfer RNA (tRNA) molecules are approximately 80 nucleotides in length. Their secondary structure includes four short double-helical elements and three loops (D, anti-codon, and T loops). Lineage: Bacteria; Pseudomonadati; Bacteroidota; Bacteroidia; Bacteroidales. RNAcentral also lists the same sequence under 1 other name. The record is from RNAcentral.
GCCUCUAUAGUUCAAUGGAUAGAACGAAAGUUUCCUAAACUUUAAAUCCGGGUUCAACUCCCGGUGGAGGUA